UCUCAAUCCCAACCUCACUCCUGCAGCCAAUUUUAAGGUGGCGUCGGCGGCGAUUGAUCCUCUCCGCUCCUCGCUCGUGACGGUCCCCUUCGUCCUCCCCCCCCUAUCUUUCGUUCCGCAUCAGGACCAGGCCUCCCCGUCCUCCGCCAUUCGGAGCCUCUCAUCGAGCGUGCGGCUUGACGGUCUCAGCUCCGGCUCCAAGGGCGGCGGCCCAGCCUUCGUCGGCCAGGUCUUCAGCAUGCUGGAUCCGUCGGGGAACGGGCUCAUGGCG
This 271-nucleotide unclassified non-coding RNA is filed under the name Hevea brasiliensis (rubber tree). Lineage: Eukaryota; Viridiplantae; Streptophyta; Magnoliopsida; Malpighiales; Euphorbiaceae. The record is from RNAcentral.